Molecule: ribosomal RNA, 887 nt
Filed under: uncultured bacterium
Lineage: Bacteria
Description: bacterial SSU rRNA
Rfam family: Bacterial small subunit ribosomal RNA
Source: RNAcentral
UCGCCCUUAGAGUUUGAUCCUGGCUCAGGAUGAACGCUAGCGGGAGGCUUAACACAUGCAAGUCGAGGGGCAGCAUAGGGUAGCAAUACUCUGAUGGCGACCGGCAAACGGGUGAGUAACGCGUAUGCAACCUACCCUGUACAGGGGGAUAACCCGGAGAAAUUCGGACUAAUAUCCCGUAAUAAUAUCCGGAGGCAUCUUUGGAUAUUUAAAGUUCCGACGGUACGGGAUGGGCAUGCGUAACAUUAGCUGGUUGGUAAGGUAACGGCUUACCAAGGCUAUGAUGUUUAGGGGUCCUGAGAGGGUGGUCCCCCACACUGGUACUGAGACACGGACCAGACUCCUACGGGAGGCAGCAGUGAGGAAUAUUGGUCAAUGGGCGCAAGCCUGAACCAGCCAUCCCGCGUGCAGGAAGACGGCCCUAUGGGUUGUAAACUGCUUUUCCAGGGAGAGAAACUUACGCACGUGUUGCGUGACUGACGGUACCCUGGGAAUAAGCAUCGGCUAACUCCGUGCCAGCAGCCGCGGUAAUACGGAGGAUGCAAGCGUUAUCCGGAUUCAUUGGGUUUAAAGGGUGCGUAGGCGGGCUAUUAAGUCAGUGGUGAAAUCCUGCAGCUUAACUGCAGAACUGCCGUUGAUACUGAUAGUCUUGAGUUUGGUUAAGGUAGGCGGAAUGUGUAAUGUAGCGGUGAAAUGCUUAGAUAUUACACAGAACACCAAUUGCGUAGGCAGCUUACUGAGCCGACACUGACGCUGAGGCACGAAAGCGUGGGGAUCAAACAGGAUUAGAUACCCUGGUAGUCCACGCCGUAAACGAUGAUUACUCGCUGUUGGCGAUACACUGUCAGCGGCUAAGCAAAAGUAAUAAGUAAUCCACCUGGGGAGUA